Molecule: ribosomal RNA, 400 nt
Filed under: uncultured bacterium
Lineage: Bacteria
Description: bacterial SSU rRNA
Rfam family: Bacterial small subunit ribosomal RNA
Source: RNAcentral
GAAUCUUGGACAAUGGGGGCAACCCUGAUCCAGCCAUGCCGCGUGAGCGAUGAAGGCCUUAGGGUUGUAAAGCUCUUUCAGCGGGGAAGAUAAUGACGGUACCCGCAGAAGAAGCCCCGGCUAACCCCGUUCCAGCAGCCGCGGUAAUACGGAGGGGGCUAGCGUUGUUCGGAAGUACUGGGCGUAAAGCGCGCGUAGGCGGACAUUUAAGUCAGGUGUGAAAUCCCGGGGCUCAACCCCGGAACUGCCUUUGAUACUGGGUGUCUGGAGGUCGAGAGAGGUGAGUGGAAUUCCGAGUGUAGAGGUGAAAUUCGUAGAUAUUCGGAGGAACACCAGUGGCGAAGGCGGCUCACUGGCUCGAUACUGACGCUGAGGUGCGAAAGCGUGGGGAGCAAACAGG